Molecule: ribosomal RNA, 465 nt
Filed under: uncultured bacterium
Lineage: Bacteria
Description: partial 16S ribosomal RNA
Rfam family: Bacterial small subunit ribosomal RNA
Source: RNAcentral
GACGAACGCUGGCGGCGUGCUUAACACAUGCAAGUCGAACGGAAAGGCCCUGCUUGCAGGGUACUCGAGUGGCGAACGGGUGAGUAACACGUGGGUGAUCUGCCCUGCACUUCGGGAUAAGCUUGGGAAACUGGGUCUAAUACCGGAUAGGAACCAUCUUUAGUGUGGUGGUUGGAAAGUUUUUUCGGUGUAGGAUGAGCUCGCGGCCUAUCAGCUUGUUGGUAGGGUAAUGGCCUACCAAGGCGGCGACGGGUAGCCGGCCUGAGAGGGUGUACGGCCACAUUGGGACUGAGAUACGGCCCAGACUCCUACGGGAGGCAGCAGUGGGGAAUAUUGCACAAUGGGCGCAAGCCUGAUGCAGCGACGCCGCGUGGGGGAUGAAGGCCUUCGGGUUGUAAACUCCUUUCGCUAGGGACGAAGCUUUUUGUGACGGUACCUAGAUAAGAAGCACCGGCUAACUACGUG